UCNCGAAGAUGGACCUCGCGUCUGAUUAGCUAGUUGGCGGGGUAACGGCCCACCAAGGCGACGAUCAGUAGCCGGACUGAGAGGUUGGCCGGCCACAUUGGGACUGAGACACGGCCCAGACUCCUACGGGAGGCAGCAG
This 139-nucleotide ribosomal RNA is filed under the name uncultured bacterium. RNAcentral's name for it is "partial 16S ribosomal RNA". It matches the Rfam family "Bacterial small subunit ribosomal RNA", at positions 217 to 354 of the family's 1533-position model. The record is from RNAcentral.